GCACAAGCGGUGAGCAUGUGGUUUAAUUCGAAGCAACGCGAAGAACCUUACCAGGUCUUGACAUCCCGAUGCUAUUUCUAGAGAUAGAAAGUUACUUCGGUACAUCAGUGACAGGUGGUGCAUGGUUGUCGUCAGCUCGUGUCGUGAGAUGUUGGGUUAAGUCCCGCAACGAGCGCAACCCCUAUUGUUAGUUGCCAUCAUUCAGUUGGGCACUCUAGCGAGACUGCCGGUAAUAAACCGGAGGAAGGUGGGAUGACGUCAAAUCAUCAUGCCCCUUAUGACCUGGGCUACACACGUGCUACAAUGGUUGGUACAACGAGUUGCGAGUCGGUGACGGCGAGCUAAUCUCUUAAAGCCAAUCUCAGUUCGGAUUGUAGGCUGCAACUCGCCUACAUGAAGUCGGAAUCGCUAGUAAUCGCGGAUCAGCACGCCGCGGUGAAUACGUUCCCGGGCCUU
RNAcentral lists this ribosomal RNA (456 nucleotides) under uncultured Streptococcus sp. Its description in RNAcentral is "bacterial SSU rRNA". It matches the Rfam family "Bacterial small subunit ribosomal RNA", at positions 923 to 1382 of the family's 1533-position model. Lineage: Bacteria; Bacillati; Bacillota; Bacilli; Lactobacillales; Streptococcaceae. The record is from RNAcentral.